CCUAGCCUAGAAAGACCAUAUCAGUCCCAAAAGAAAGAAAAAAACCAGUACUAUGCCGUUAAUAAGCUAUUUCAAGGGAAAAAAAAAAACCUACUGGUGUCUCUCUCUCUCACCCUAGUUCUUUUCUUUUCCUCCAGCCACCAAAUGUUUUUGCUCUCCCUCUCUCUCUCCAGGAGAUGCUACUGUCAAUCAUGACUUGUCAAUGGUAUGUCUUCUUCUCUUUCUCUUCUUGAUGUUCUUUCUCUCAUCCCAAACCACCUUCUUCUUCCUCUUCUCUUUUUCUUUUUGAUUUUGUUUCUCGCAUCCCAAACACCAAAACCCGACUGCACUCUGGUUGGUUCGGCCCCGUUCCUUCCUUACAAAUCGGUGUUGGUUUCGAAACAUGGAAAAACCGACAUCCGACCCAAAUCGAUUAUUUCAUCCCUAGUUAAUGGGUAUUCGCUCAUGUUCAAGAAUAUGUUUAAUUGACUCGUAUUUACUUCAACACCGCCACAUUUUCAGUAAAAAAUGUCUUUUUAGAGCUUAUUAUACUGCUGCUUCAGCACUGUCUUCCGAAGUAGACCAUGUGUUCGAUGAAUGUCCUAAACCAAAACUUGAAGUUAAUGUUACUGAUGAAGUUAGUGUUUUUACAAGUAUUUGGAAAGAGCCCAAACUGUUUCCCUUAGUUGGUAGGGUGUUCAAGUCUUUGAAUUGGAUGGUUGCAAGGGAAAUACGAUUUUCGACCGCUGUGGGGAAGCAUGGAUUUGCUCAUGCAACCAAUGCAUUUAGAAUGGUGGUUCAUAUUUUCGCUUUAUGUGGGAUGCGGAGGGAAGUGUAUGCUUUGCUUAGAGAUAUGGUUGGAUAUUAUAAUGAAGUUAAUUAUGAUGCUUUUGAGUUGUUCCCGAAUUUGCUGGACUCACCUCGCCACGCGGUGAGAUCGCUUGUUGUAUUUGAUGUACUAAUAAAAGUAUUCGCGGCCAAUUCAAUGCUUGAGUAUGCUGUGGAUGUGUUUUUGCGUGCUAAGAGUAUUGGGCUUAAACCCGAUAUUUGUUCGUGUAAUUUCUUGUUAAAGUGUUUGGCGGAAGCUAAUAAAGUGGAAUUUGUUAGAAGUUUAUUUGAAGAUUUUAAAAAUUCUGGGCCGCCGCCUACUGUUUACACCUACACAAUUAUGAUGAAUUUGUACUGUAAAGGGGAUACUGGUCGGGAUGUAGAUAUCGGACAAGCAACUGAAAUUCUAGAAGAAUUGGAGAGAAGUGGGGAAAUCCCAACUGUUGUGACAUACAGUACAUAUAUCCAUGGACUUUGUAAAGUUGGUUGUGAUGAGUUUGCCUUGGACUUAAUUCGGAAUUUGAGAUGUAGAAACCAACCUCUCAAUAGUUAUUGUUAUAAUGCUAUUAUUUAUGCGUUUUGCCAAAAAGAUAAAGCAUAUGAAGCUUUGGAAAUUUUGGAAGAAAUGAAGAGCUAUGGAAUACUUCCAGAUGUUUACAGUUACAGCAUUUUGAUCGAUGGGUUUUGUAAGAAAGGGGAUAUUGAGAAAGGUCUUAAAUUUAUUGAGGAAAUGGAUCAUUAUGGUUUAAGGCCAUCGCUAGUUACUUAUAGUUCACUCUUCUAUGGUCUAUGUAAGAGUGGACUGAUGGACAUCUCACUAGAUAUGUUCCAUAAUCUUGGGGCUACUGGUUAUGUAUAUGAUCAUAUUGCUUAUGGAAUCUUAAUCAAUGGAUUUUGUAUGCUGGGUGAUAUGCAUUCAGCCAAUAAACUUUUGGAGGAGAUGAUCAGCAAUAAUUUGGUUCCUGCUGCUUUCAUUUUCCACAGUCUGAUACAUGGGUUCUGCAAGAUGGGGAUCUUAGAUAAGGCCUUGGAAGUUUUCAAUAACAUGCUACAACAUGGUGUCUUGCCUGAUACCAUCACUUGCAAUGUUAUAAUUGAUGGAUAUUGCAAGGUAGGGCACUUUGAGGAAGCCACGAAACUUAUGGGUGAAAUGCAAGAACUGGGCAUUUCUGUUAACUCGUAUACCUAUAAUGCAGUUAUUAAUGGCCUGUGCAAGGUAAGAAAAUCAGAAAAAGCAUGGGAACUUUUUCCUCAAAUGCUUAAGAGGAAUGUACUCCCUGGAGUUGUUAAUUAUGGUACACUGAUGGAUGGCUUUGCUAAACAGUUGAAUUUUAAGAAGGCCUUGAUGUUGUACGCAAGAAUGCUAAAAGCUGGGGUCAUGCCUGAUACAGUCAUGUAUACAAUUCUUGUUAACAUAUUUUGCCAGAGGGGAGAAAUGCAUGAAGCGUAUAAUCUGUUCAAGGAAAUGACUGAAAAGGGUGUCCUUCCUGAUAAGAUUUCUUACACAUCUUUGAUAUCUGGAUUUAGUAGAAUGGGGGACAUGAAGAAGGCUUGGGCAUUGUUAAAUGAAAUGCUGAGGAAAGGCCAUAUGCCCAGUGUUGUCACUUAUACCUGUUUAAUUCAUGGAUUUUGUAAGUUGAAACGCAUGGAUAUUGCCAAAUUGUUGGUUGAUGAAAUGAGGAGAAACAAAGUGACCCCGGACGUGGUAACUUACACUGUUCUCAUUGUUGGGUACCGCUGUCUUGGAAAUAUUGAAAAGGCUCAUGAGUUAUUCGAUGAAAUGAAGGAAAGUGGUAUCAUUCCAGAUGAUAUUGCACAUAUUGCACGGGGGUAUAAAGCUGGUGCAGUUUCUGAAGGCUAGGAAGCUACUGGAAUGAUUUUUUGAAGACCAGAGGUUCAAAGGAUCUUCAAAAGUAUUGAAUGAACAAAGCUUGCUCACCUUGUCUGAUUGACCAGGAAUCAGUGAAGUGGAUAAUGCUCAUGAUGCCAGCUUUUUAAUGAUUGAAGAUGUAUUUAUUUAUUUAUAAUACAACUUCAUUAGUAUACAAUUGGAUUGGUUAUGGAGUUGGAUAGCAUUGCAAAGGCUACCAUGAUGCUAGGCAUGGACAAUGCUUACUCCUGGAAUUUGUUUCUCUAAGUCUCCAAAAAGGCAAGAUAUGCUUACUUCUCCAUAGUUUUACACAUUAAGUUCACUUUGAAUUUUUCCCUUGAAUUAUUUAUCAAGCUUGCUUAGUAAUGAAUGGCUUCUUAACCAAUUAAUGAUUUCCCAUUAACAAUUUCUGAAAAUUUUCAGAGGCAGAGUACUUUCCCAGUUAGAGAUUUAUCAUUAGUGAUGUUCUCUGUAACUAUUGAAUGCUGUUCAAAGAUUGAUCCAGUCUGGGGUCAGUAUGUUAUUCUCUUUCUGUCACUCUCUUUCAUAUUGCUUCUAGUGAUGGAUCCAAUUCAGCUUUGACCGUUGCAUACACGUUGAAGCCACUACAAACAACUUGAGCUUUUUCAACGUAAUUUUAUCUAGUCACUAAAAAAUGUUGAUAUGAACCUUAAUUUUCUACAGUUUUGGGCAACAGUGGAGAAAAGCAACGAAAUUAGCAUACUUAUUUUAACAGUUGAAAUAACUGUUGAGAUAUGUAUUAAAAAGAAAGGACUCCCAUUCUU
RNA transcript from Quercus lobata, 3462 nucleotides. It is a transcript of the gene named pentatricopeptide repeat-containing protein At1g62914, mitochondrial-like, with no coding region annotated. NCBI's taxonomy places the organism in Eukaryota, Viridiplantae, Streptophyta, Magnoliopsida, Fagales, Fagaceae. The transcript is spliced from 4 exons. The record is from RefSeq and is a predicted model, not a curated record.